UGGGAGGCUUCGGGGAGGCUGACCUUUGCGGACGGACACGCAAGGGUGCUGCACGACUUAGGCAAAACCAGCUAAGUCCGUGACAGAUGGUAUCAGAGCGGGACAAGCACUCAUAGAAACACUUAGCAUGCAAACGUGGGGGACCUAGCGGAACUGCGUUGAGGGCAGUCAGCACACGCGCGACCGUUUGGGGAAAAACGGGCAUGGAGAUGUAGGG
This 217-nucleotide long non-coding RNA is filed under the name Musa acuminata (dwarf banana). Its description in RNAcentral is "long non-coding RNA (MACU_LNC008052)". Lineage: Eukaryota; Viridiplantae; Streptophyta; Magnoliopsida; Zingiberales; Musaceae. The record is from RNAcentral.